Molecule: transfer RNA, 82 nt
Filed under: Gemmatimonadota bacterium
Lineage: Bacteria; Pseudomonadati; Gemmatimonadota
Also listed under: 2 other names
Description: tRNA-Leu
Rfam family: tRNA
About the family: Transfer RNA (tRNA) molecules are approximately 80 nucleotides in length.
Source: RNAcentral
GCGGACGUGGCGGAACUGGCAGACGCGCAGGACUUAGGAUCCUGUCCCGCAAGGGGUCCGGGUUCGACUCCCGGCGUUCGCA